CAGCAGCCACGGGAAUACGUAGGGUGCGAGCGUUAAUCGGGAUUACUGGGCGUAAAGCGUGCGCAGGCGGUUCGUUAAGACAGAUGUGAAAUCCCCGGGCUUAACCUGGGAACUGCAUUUGUGACUGGCGAGCUAGAGUAUGGCAGAGGGGGGUAGAAUUCCACGUGUAGCAGUGAAAUGCGUAGAGAUGUGGAGGAAUACCGAUGGCGAAGGCAGCCCCCUGGGCCAAUACUGACGCUCAUGCACGAAAGCGUGGGGAGCAAACAGGAUUAGAUACCCGCGUAGUCCCUGUCUCUUAUAC
RNAcentral lists this ribosomal RNA (301 nucleotides) under uncultured bacterium. RNAcentral describes it as "partial 16S ribosomal RNA". It matches the Rfam family "Bacterial small subunit ribosomal RNA", at positions 509 to 807 of the family's 1533-position model. The record is from RNAcentral.